GAUGAACGCUGGCGGCGUGCCUAAUACAUGCAAGUCGAGCGAACAGACGAGGAGCUUGCUCCUCUGACGUUAGCGGCGGACGGGUGAGUAACACGUGGAUAACCUACCUAUAAGACUGGGAUAACUUCGGGAAACCGGAGCUAAUACCGGAUAAUAUAUUGAACCGCAUGGUUCAAUAGUGAAAGACGGUUUUGCUGUCACUUAUAGAUGGAUCCGCGCCGCAUUAGCUAGUUGGUAAGGUAACGGCUUACCAAGGCAACGAUGCGUAGCCGACCUGAGAGGGUGAUCGGCCACACUGGAACUGAGACACGGUCCAGACUCCUACGGGAGGCAGCAGUAGGGAAUCUUCCGCAAUGGGCGAAAGCCUGACGGAGCAACGCCGCGUGAAUGAUGAAGGUCUUCGGAUCGUAAAACUCUGUUAUUAGGGAAGAACAAAUGUGUAAGUAUCUAUGCACGUCUUGACGGUACCUAAUCAGAAAGCCACGGCUAACUACGUG
RNAcentral lists this ribosomal RNA (497 nucleotides) under uncultured bacterium. RNAcentral's name for it is "partial 16S ribosomal RNA". It matches the Rfam family "Bacterial small subunit ribosomal RNA", at positions 28 to 507 of the family's 1533-position model. The record is from RNAcentral.